This 1020-nucleotide long non-coding RNA is filed under the name Homo sapiens (human). RNAcentral describes it as "HSALNT0050865". The stretch from base 65 to 134 matches the Rfam family "Ghrelin opposite strand RNA conserved region". The record is from RNAcentral. Lineage: Eukaryota; Metazoa; Chordata; Mammalia; Primates; Hominidae.
CAGUCGUGGGAGUUGCUGCAGAAGCAAGCGAAAAGCCAGAUGAGCGCUUCUAAACUUAGAGAGAGGGAGAGCGCCUCAUCUCUUCCAUUUUCCAGGUAUUCCUGAGAUGAUUUAUUGGAGCUCAAAGCUUUGGGAGAGUUGGGGCCUUCCAUUCCCUCCAGUAAAUACUUGUUUUUCUUCCACCGCUGAGGCAAAUGCGGGGUGGCUGAUCACCUGGCAGACAUCUUAGGAAACAGGAGCACCGGUCUGGGAAACUGCUGGCCUGGCCUAACACCUGGCGCUGUGGUGCAGGCUCUGGAAGGAAGAGGCCUCCCCUGGGCCACUGUGCGCUGUCUCUGUCCAUCAGACCAGUGAGGAGGAAGAGGGCUUGGGGACUGGAGUCAGCCCUGACCUUGUGUCGCGUCCCUUCCACACACCGCUGUGGUACCUUGGGCAAGAGGGCAGCCACUGAGGAUUCUUGAGGAGAGAGAGACCAUAGAAUGAAUGAAAGAGUUGGAAAGACUUUAAAGCUCUGGGAGGCUGAAUCCUUUAUUUCGCUGGAAGAAAAACUGAAUGCCAAGAGGGCCUCACUUUCCCCAAAGCUAUACAGCCAUCAGGGGCAAUGCUGGGAUUCCCCCAUGGAUCUCUUGACUCCUAAUACAGUGCUCUUUCUGAUAUGCCAUCUGGCUCCAUAAUGAACAUUGUGUUCCAGGAAAAUCAGUCUGCGCUGAACAGGAUGGAAUUGGGGCAGGACGUCCAGUGAGGAGGACAUUGAGGCAGUAGAGCAGUUGAUUGCCGAAUGACCACCUACCCUGACUUAAAAGAUCAACCUCAGGGAGGAUUGGAGCUUUCUAGAGUCUCUUGGGACAGCAGAAGCACAGGCCGGGUUGGACUGAAUCUUUAAGUGGACAUGAGGGACAAAGUACCUCCUGUUGGUAAACAUCUCACCACCAACCCACUGUGGUGGCUAAAAUCCCACCUUUAGUCCCAGCAACAUAUGAGCAUGUCACCAGGAGGUCUUCACAGGCCUGUCUGCCACCU